GCCCACACCAUGUAAUCCACCAGACACACUAUAGCCACUACUUGAGCCUCCAAAUUUACCACCUGCAUGCAAAACCGUCAAGACUGUUUCAAGAGAAGAUUUCUUUGUCACUGGAUGCAACUCUGUUGGAAUCCCACGGCCAUUGUCAGUGAUGCCAACAGAGUUAUCAGCAUGGAGGACCACAUCUAUCUUUGUCGCGAAUCCUGCUUGUGCCUCAUCAACGGCAUUAUCCAAAAUUUCAUAAACCAAAUGGUGGAGACCACGAGGGCCUGUGCUUCCUAUGUACAUUCCUGGUCUUUUUCUGACAGGAUCCAGACCUUCCAAUACCUGAAUUUGCUCAGAACCAUAAGCUUUUGACUUAGUAUUUUCUUGAAAAGCCUCAGUAGUAACGCUUGAUGACAUAAAAGCUCUUGGAGACACCACGUUUCUAAUAAAAAUGCCAUCCGACACCCUUCUCAGCCUAGUAAUCACCCUGGUGUUGAGGAAAAUAGAGGGUGGAGAAAGAAAGGUUGAAGAAAAGGGAAGAGUAUGAGAGUGACAAUGAAGAAGAUAACGAGAAGCCAUGCGACGAAGAGAGUAUUGAAGAGGAAAUGGUUUUAGCAGAGCCAUUCAG
This 613-nucleotide unclassified non-coding RNA is filed under the name Hevea brasiliensis (rubber tree). The record is from RNAcentral. Lineage: Eukaryota; Viridiplantae; Streptophyta; Magnoliopsida; Malpighiales; Euphorbiaceae.